This 472-nucleotide ribosomal RNA is filed under the name uncultured bacterium. Its description in RNAcentral is "partial 16S ribosomal RNA". It matches the Rfam family "Bacterial small subunit ribosomal RNA", at positions 28 to 507 of the family's 1533-position model. The record is from RNAcentral.
GACGAACGCUGGCGGCGUGCUUAACACAUGCAAGUCGAACGCUGAAGCUUGGUGCUUGCACUGGGUGGAUGAGUGGCGAACGGGUGAGUAAUACGUGAGUAACCUGCCCUUGACUCUGGGAUAAGCCUGGGAAACUGGGUCUAAUACUGGAUACGACAUGUCACCGCAUGGUGGUGUGUGGAAAGGGCUUUAAUGGGUUUGGAUGGGCUCACGGCCUAUCAGCUUGGUGGUGGGGUAAUGGCUCACCAAGGCGACGACGGGUAGACGGCCUGAGAGGGUGACCGGCCUCACUGGGCCUGAGACACGGCCCAGACUCCUACGGUAGGCAGAAGUGGGGAAUAUUGCACAAUGGGCGGACGCCUGAUGCAGCGACGCCGCGUGUGGGAUGACGGCCUUCGGGUUGUAAACCUCUUUCAGCACGGAAGAAGCGAAAGUGACGGUACGUGCAGAAGAAGCGCCGGCUAACUACGUG